GGGGUCAUAGCUCAGCUGGGAGAGCGAUACGCUGGCAGCGUAUAGGUCAGGGGUUCGAUCCCCCUUGACUCCACCA
This 76-nucleotide transfer RNA is filed under the name Campylobacterota bacterium. RNAcentral's name for it is "Epsilonproteobacteria bacterium (mullusc metagenome) tRNA-Ala". It matches the Rfam family "tRNA". Rfam says of the family: Transfer RNA (tRNA) molecules are approximately 80 nucleotides in length. The record is from RNAcentral. Lineage: Bacteria; Pseudomonadati; Campylobacterota.